CCCUCGCUACACAACUCUCUCCUGAGACCUGCUCUGACAACAGCUCUCUCGCACUCUUCCUGUCUGGGAUUCUUUCAGGAGCUUCAAAACAGUCGCCAGCCUCAUUUUCUUGUAAACUGAAUGACAGCGGUCAAGAGACCUGUGCAAUGUGCGGUGCAUCCAAUCAUCAGAGGAAUAAGGAGCUGUUCAUGGACUCUGUUUACAAACCGAUGCUCAGGCAGGAAGCCAAGCUUUGUUCCUAAGAGAAGGGAAUACCCUCACAGAGACUACACAGUUAAUUGUUUUUGGAAUAAGCUUCUCCAGUUACAGUACUGGAGUUUUAAAAAAAACGAUCUUCACCAUCUGUGUCCAUCUGUUCCUGAUGAAAUACUGUAUCAAACAGUCGCUCGUGAGGGAGGAGAGCAGAUAUCAGAUAUGAUGGGAUCUGAACCAGCUAACCUUGCUACAACAUCCCGCGGCUUUAAAAAAACAACUAAAAUGCCUCUGUGACCCAAUGAUGGAGCCCUGAAACUCCACUCAGCUGCUUUCCAAGUAUCCAGCUCAGGGUACUUCAGAGAAAGCUCUGUGAUCUUCUAGCCACCCAGGUUACAACUGGAUUAUAACCAAACAGACCAAGGAAAGAUGAAACAGCAUGUGUUUGCUUCAGCUGAGCACUAGAGGGCCCCCAAAGACAAAAACUGUUACUGUUCACUCAGCUUGGCUUCUCAAAUUUAGAGAAAUGACCUGACCUGCUUUCAAGACAGCUUGUCAUGUGUGCCAGUUUUAUAGGUUUCUAAUUGUAGCACGGCUACCUCUGUUGAUUAAGGAGAAGGAGAGCCGAGCUGCUAUCACAAUGAAAUAUCAGUCCUAUUAAUACCUUGGAGUGUAUAUCGACCGAGUAACCUGCAGACCCACAGUUUAGAACACCGGUGCAGCAUUUCUAACACAGCCUUUGAAACUGUUGUCAAAAUGCAUGCAAGAAAAGUAAAAUAUACAAAUUAGCUUGAAAAACUGUAAACAGAUGUACUUAGAAUCCAAAAGGAUUCAUCAACAUUAAACGUAAUAAAAAAAGAAUGUAACAAGAAACUUUGGGGGAGGGGGCAAACUUAUUGUGCUAAUUGAAUGUUUUUUUGUGAAAUUGUAAAACAAAUCCUCUCUUAAUAAAUACUGAACAGAGUGUAUUUCAAAUACAAAAAGUGUGCAUGACCUUUUUUAACUUGGAAGUUGUUCAAAGAGAUAUUUUAUGCCACCCAUCUGAA
This is a long non-coding RNA of Acipenser ruthenus (sterlet), 1238 nucleotides long. RefSeq lists it as uncharacterized. NCBI's taxonomy places the organism in Eukaryota, Metazoa, Chordata, Actinopteri, Acipenseriformes, Acipenseridae. The record is from RefSeq and is a predicted model, not a curated record. The transcript has 3 exons.